GGAGAGGUACCGAAGUGGUCGUAACGGGGCCGACUCGAAAUCGGCUUACCCCCUAACCCGGGGUACGUGGGUUCGAAUCCCACCCUCUCCG
Molecule: transfer RNA, 91 nt
Filed under: Deltaproteobacteria bacterium
Lineage: Bacteria; Pseudomonadati; Myxococcota; Myxococcia
Also listed under: 1 other name
Description: tRNA-Ser
Rfam family: tRNA
About the family: Transfer RNA (tRNA) molecules are approximately 80 nucleotides in length. Their secondary structure includes four short double-helical elements and three loops (D, anti-codon, and T loops). Further hydrogen bonds mediate the characteristic L-shaped molecular structure. tRNAs have two regions of fundamental functional importance: the anti-codon, which is responsible for specific mRNA codon recognition, and the 3' end, to which the tRNAs corresponding amino acid is attached (by aminoacyl-tRNA synthetases). tRNAs cope with the degeneracy of the genetic code in two manners: having more than one tRNA (with a specific anti-codon) for a particular amino acid; and 'wobble' base-pairing, i.e. permitting non-standard base-pairing at the 3rd anti-codon position.
Source: RNAcentral